GCCAACCCGCGAGGGUGCGCUAAUCUCUUAAAGUAUGUCUCAGUUCGGAUUGUAGGCUGCAACUCGCCUACAUGAAGUCGGAAUCGCUAGUAAUCGCGGAUCAGCACGCCGCGGUGAAUACGUUCCCGGGUCUUGUACACACCGCCCGUCACACCAUGAGAGUUUGUAACACCCAAAGCCGGUGGGGUAACCUUUUAGGAGCCAGCCGUCUAAGGUGGGACAGAUGAUUAGGGUGAAGUCGUAACAAGGUAGCCGUAGGAGAACCUGCGGCUGGAUCACCUCCUUUCUAAGGAA
Molecule: ribosomal RNA, 294 nt
Filed under: Weissella paramesenteroides
Lineage: Bacteria; Bacillati; Bacillota; Bacilli; Lactobacillales; Lactobacillaceae
Description: partial 16S ribosomal RNA
Rfam family: Bacterial small subunit ribosomal RNA
Source: RNAcentral